GCGUCGGUGGCGGAGCGGUCAAUCGCACGUGACUGUAGAUCACGCGGGCUUAGCCCUACGCAGGUUCGAAUCCGGCCCGGCGCA
RNAcentral lists this transfer RNA (84 nucleotides) under bacterium. RNAcentral's name for it is "tRNA-Tyr". It matches the Rfam family "tRNA". From Rfam's summary of the family: Transfer RNA (tRNA) molecules are approximately 80 nucleotides in length. Their secondary structure includes four short double-helical elements and three loops (D, anti-codon, and T loops). Further hydrogen bonds mediate the characteristic L-shaped molecular structure. tRNAs have two regions of fundamental functional importance: the anti-codon, which is responsible for specific mRNA codon recognition, and the 3' end, to which the tRNAs corresponding amino acid is attached (by aminoacyl-tRNA synthetases). tRNAs cope with the degeneracy of the genetic code in two manners: having more than one tRNA (with a specific anti-codon) for a particular amino acid; and 'wobble' base-pairing, i.e. permitting non-standard base-pairing at the 3rd anti-codon position. The record is from RNAcentral.